UUUACCCAGUAUCUGUUUCCUAUGAGCACAGCUCUUUCAGGCAACAUCAUAGUAUCUUCCAGGCAUUUUUUUCCACACGAAGACUAAAACGUUACAAUCACUAUACAUUUCGACACAGAAGUAUCGAGCUCUAUAGCUUGCUGUUUAUUCAGUGAUUGACCAUACAGAUCAGAAUAGUGAGGUUUACUGUAUUUUUUCUCCAGUCGGGCUGAUUGGAGUCUUUCGCUUUCGAACGUGGUGACGCAAUUUCCGGGCGAACGGAGUGCAUGAAGACGCUCCGGAAGAGGAUAAAUAUUCUGGUUUUAAAAUCGGUACAGUUUGGGACUACAUGGACUAGUGCUGGUUGCUUACUUUCAACAACCGUUGGAGGAGAAGGAGGAGGAAGAAGAAGAAGAAAAAGAAAAAAUAAUAAUAUACGAAAAGUACGAACUAACGGUGUCUGGAUUGUUUAGCAAAAAUACCGCAGUGAACAGAGGUUUGGCUCACAGGUUCUUGAUCAUCUGUAGGCGUCGUUACUUUCCCUUCCUGCGCUGGCUCCUUUGUUCGGACACGUGGGCUGCCAGCUCUCCCAAUCCUGCCCAAUGGGAAUGGCUGGCUGAGAGUCCAUGGAGCCUUCAUCCCCACCUUGUGCCUCACUAGGCCCAUAUGACUGAUCCUUGAAUUCAUUCAGUAUUUAGUUUGUUGAUCAAAUCUCUUUUGUGCUGUGACCUUCUGUGGUUUCGUCGAAUAAAGUCAUUUGCCUGGA
Molecule: long non-coding RNA, 745 nt
Organism: Brienomyrus brachyistius
Lineage: Eukaryota; Metazoa; Chordata; Actinopteri; Osteoglossiformes; Mormyridae
Exons: 2
Source: RefSeq, a predicted model, not a curated record